RNAcentral lists this ribosomal RNA (406 nucleotides) under uncultured bacterium. RNAcentral's name for it is "partial 16S ribosomal RNA". It matches the Rfam family "Bacterial small subunit ribosomal RNA", at positions 30 to 526 of the family's 1533-position model. The record is from RNAcentral.
AUUGAACGCUGGCGGCAGGCCUAACACAUGCAAGUCGAGCGAGCGGCGGACGGGUGAGUAAUGUCUGGGGAACUGCCUGAUGGAGGGGGAUAACUACUGGAAACGGUAGCUAAUACCGCAUACCAUCAGAUGUGCCCAGAUGGGAUUAGCUAGUAGGUGGGGUAAUGGCUCACCUAGGCGACGAUCCCUAGCUGGUCUGAGAGGAUGACCAGCCACACUGGGACUGAGACACGGUCCAGACUCCUACGGGAGGCAGCAGUGGGGAAUAUUGCACAAUGGGCGCAAGCCUGAUGCAGCCAUGCCGCGUGUAUGAAGAAGGCCUUCGGGUUGUAAAGCACUUUCAGCGGGGAGGCGUUACUCGCAGAAGAAGCACCGGCUAACUCCGUGCCAGCAGCCGCGGUAAUAC